ACACACACACACACACACACACACACACACACACACACACACACACACACACACACACACACCUCAUUUUUGUGACUUGAUUUGCGAUUUGAUUUAUGUUUUUUGCUCAUGAACCAAUAAACAGCAGGGGACUGACAGAGUAUAUUUUGGCGAAUUGUUUUGUCAGAGCACAAACAUACUGAGCGGACACCGUGAUGAGGCAUGAGAAAGUACUAAAAGAUAAAGGAGCAGAAUGUUUUUUUAUGGGUGAUUCAUAUGUUUUCCACCAUGAGUAAGACAUACUUGUUGGAAUCUGUUUUUUUUUUUUUAACUGCUGUGUUUCCCAGCUGCACCCAAAGCCUCCAAUUCCCCUUGACUGGGAAAAACUUUAACAUUUUAAAGCCACUUUCACAUGUACAGCAGGUAAGUGUUUCAUGGUGAAGAUACGUGUUUUUGUUGGAGUUUCACUUUGAAACCCCUGCCAGUGAGAUGUUUACAUUAUUUCAUCUCUCCCCUGUAGACAAAGCAACUGGUGGGUGGUGACCCUGGGUGUGUAACAGGUCAGUACGAGAGAAUCUCUGCCAAAAUGUCUCAAUCUUUUGAAGUCCUAUCAGUUCCACUCAUGAUUUUGAAGAGUGUGACUGCCUCCCACAGCAGGACUGCACAGCAGCGAUGGGAUUUCCAUGUCUUUUGAAAGCGAUGGGUUGUUUUGAACUGGGUAGAGCUGUGGCUUUAGACCCUGACGCAGUUAUAGGCCUGCGACAGGCCAAAGACAGUUUACACUUUAAAUCCGAGUUAUGGCUGUAAACUCUCACCAGAUAACGUUUGAUUGUUGAUUAUUGCAAGCAAAGCCAUGUCCAAAUAAAUAUUGCUUUUUUGGCCUUUACAGAAUUUAUUUUUGGACGCAUACUGAGGGAAUAAUGUCUGCAGCUGCACAUCUGUCUGUCCUCUGACAGCGAUUACAAGAUAACUGCAUGUAAGAACAACAUUAAACAGCUUAUUGUUUAAAUGCCAUGGCUCAAUGGCGGUAAUAUAAAAACAGUUACAAUUUCUUGUUUGCAGCAUUUUAGGACCUUGCAUCCUCCUUUAGGCGAACGCUCUCACCAAGCACACCGAUGAUGUUAAUUGGAGCCAAUGAGAGCUCACUGCAUAGAGCUUGGGCCUUGAGUCGACAGGGCGAUAUAAAUCCACACACCUUUGGUUAAAAAGCAUGAAACAGUUGGGAAACAAUAGUGACCAGACUAAGAACAGCAUUACACAUGUGGAAGAUUAUCCACCUAAUCAAGUUCCAAGUGGAUAUGAUAAGGCUCUGUUGUAUCGCUCCUGGAAUAUUUUAAUUUAUGCUGUUCUAGGACCUUCAAUGCAACUGCCCAAUCACGCUGUCAUUAUCUAAUUUUCACACUAUUCACUUUGUGUCAGUCAUAUCUUUUGCCCAAGAUAUGACAUGACAAACACAUGACCAGUCAGUUUAAACGCUGGUUACGGCAGCAACAUUAAUUAUCACGUUCCAGCAAUGACACCAGCAUGGAGAUUAGCCUCUGUCUAGCAAGAUCCCUCCAACUCUGCUGCAUGUGUUAUGAUGCAUUCAAGGGUGUAAAUAAUCAAUUUCCUGUCCAUGUGUCUAGUCUUGUUGUCACCAGGGCCGUUUCUUGUUAUAUGCGGACUUUGCAGGAGCAUAGAGCCCCCGCACCACUAGGGGGCCCUCUCAAGUUGCAAGUCCAGUCUCAAUAUCUGAGGAGUAACCCGACGGAGAAGGUAUGAAAAGUACCUGGCACCUGGCCCACUGAUUGGUCAGAUCAGCUCUCUACCGAUUGGUCAGAUCUGGUGUCUACCGCGCCGCGUUGCUACGACGACCAAUACUACUAAGAGCUGCCGGUACCGGUCAUUCGCGGCAUGGCGUCAAAACGAACCAUUCAUCUGGUUCAGAAAAAAAGAUUAAAAAAAAAAAAAGACUAGAUGAAGAAAAACUGCUCACAGGAUAAAGGAGAAAGCUGCAGUACUGUUCCAUUGUGGCGCACCAGAAGUGUUUCGUGUCUUACGCAACUUCAUUUGACUUUCAAACAGCACCAGGCUGUGCUCCGAUGGUUUUCAUCAGCACGGACACAGAGGAGGCCGGGCCUGUGAUGUAGGAGGAGCCAGUGUCGAUCACAGCUGUGCAGCCCUCUGCACAAAACAUCAUGUCCAUCCCGACAGAGACGCUGGAGGGAUGAAAGGAGAGGCGGCGGGCAAUUGAACCAUCCUUUUAGUGUCUGACUGUAAACAGUGAGCUCAGGACAUGAUACCUAUAUGACGGGGUGACAUGCCGGCAGCGGUCGGAUUCGAACCCUGUGCCUCUGCAGCGAGGACACAGCUGCUGUUAAAUGAACUCCCAUGAACUACUGGCGCAGCGCUUUUCAAUGGUGUUCUUGCAUUUUAACAACAAGUCCUCAUCUACUUCGGCUGUUUGGGAGAAAGCUGCAGUACUGUUCCAUUGUGGCGCACCAGAAGUGUUUUGUGUAUUACGCAACUUCAUUUGACUUUCAAACAGCACCAGGGGGAAAGAAAAACAUUAUCCCAUUCCUUCAACCACCAACACAUGGACGUAUGAGUUCAAUUUAUACAAUUAACCAGACGGAGGUCAGUGGUCUCAGUUCUACCCACCUGCUGUAGUAGACCGAGAACACCUCUUCCUUGAGGACAUGCUGAGACAUGAUGCGGUCAAACACUGGAGUGAUGCCAUCGAUGGCC
Long non-coding RNA from Acanthopagrus latus (yellowfin seabream), 2706 nucleotides. RefSeq lists it as uncharacterized. The record is from RefSeq and is a predicted model, not a curated record. Lineage: Eukaryota; Metazoa; Chordata; Actinopteri; Spariformes; Sparidae. The transcript is spliced from 6 exons.